RNAcentral lists this ribosomal RNA (301 nucleotides) under uncultured bacterium. RNAcentral's name for it is "partial 16S ribosomal RNA". It matches the Rfam family "Bacterial small subunit ribosomal RNA", at positions 509 to 807 of the family's 1533-position model. The record is from RNAcentral.
CAGUAGCCGCGGGAAUACGUAGGGUGCAAGCGUUAAUCGGAAUUACUGGGCGUAAAGCGUGCGCAGGCGGUUAUAUAAGACAGAUGUGAAAUCCCCGGGCUCAACCUGGGAACUGCAUUGGUGACUGCAACGCUGGAGUGCGGCAGAGGGGGAUGGAAUUCCGCGUGUAGCAGUGAAAUGCGUAGAUAUGCGGAGGAACACCGAUGGCGGAGGCAAUCCCCUGGGCCUGCACUGACGCUCAUGCACGAAAGCGUGGGGAGCAAACAGGAUUAGAUACCCGUGUAGUCCCUGUCUCUUAUAC